This 289-nucleotide small nuclear RNA is filed under the name Meriones unguiculatus (Mongolian gerbil). RNAcentral's name for it is "7SK RNA (ENSMUGG00000011887.1)". It matches the Rfam family "7SK RNA". Rfam says of the family: 7SK was discovered as an abundant small nuclear RNA in the mid-70s but a possible function has only recently been suggested. Two independent studies have found that 7SK RNA binds the CDK9/cyclin T complex (known as elongation factor P-TEFb). P-TEFb activates transcription by phosphorylating the C-terminal domain of RNA polymerase II. Lineage: Eukaryota; Metazoa; Chordata; Mammalia; Rodentia; Muridae. The record is from RNAcentral.
AUGUGGUGGGGAUUCCUGCCAUGUCACUGCUGCCUCACCGAUCAACAGGGUAGAUUCAGCUGACCUGGCUGGCUAUGGAGGAGUUCUGCACUUUGCUCACCCUCUGUAUGUCCUUUGUCUGAAGCCACCUGCUCUGUGGGUGAGGACCAUUUUUAGUCUGCAAAAUACUAACAGUUGUAUUCCCUGCUAAACUUCCAAACAAACUCUCAAGGAUAGAGGAACAUGUUUGAGAAUCUCAUGUCAGAGGCCAUAGGAAUCAUCACCAUGACUACCCCACAGGUUGAGAGCU